GCCCAUCCGGUCCACGUGGCUCCCGCUGGCGCUCAGACUGCCCGUCAUGCCCCCCAUCCGGUCCACGUGGCUCCCGCUGGCACUCAGACUGCCCGUCAUGCCCCCCAUGCUGGGGUUGUUCCUGGUGUCUGCCACAGAGGUCGUGUCUGAGGAGACGGGGGAGGGAGCAAGAGGUCGUGUCUGAGGAGACGGGGGAGGGAGCAAGAGGUCGUGUCUGAGGAGACGGGGGAGAGAGCAAGAGGUCGUGUCUGAGGAGACGGGGAGGGAGCAAGAGGUCGUGUCUGAGGAGACGGGGGAGAGAGCAAGAGGUCGUGUCUGAGGAGACGGGGAGGGAGCAAGAGGUCGUGUCUGAGGAGACGGGGGAGGGAGCAAGAGGUCGUGUCUGAGGAGACGGGGGAGGGAGCAAGAGGUCGUGUCUGAGGAGACGGGGGAGAGAGCAAGAGGUCGUGUCUGAGGAGACGGGGGAGAGAGCAAGAGGUCGUGUCUGAGGAGACGGGGGAGAGAGCAAGAGGUCGUGUCUGAGGAGACGGGGGAGAGAGCAAGAGGUCGUGUCUGAGGAGACGGGGGAGAGAGCAAGAGGUCGUGUCUGAGGAGACGGGGGAGAGAGCAAGAGGUCGUGUCUGAGGAGACGGGGGAGAGAGCAAGAGGUCGUGUCUGAGGAGACGGGGGAGAGAGCAAGAGGUCGUGUCUGAGGAGACGGGGGAGAGAGCAGGAGAUCUAGAAGGUCUGUAACGAGGUCUUUCUCUGGUUGGUUCUCUCCCUCCUACGGCCUCGUCUUUUCUAGAAGGUCUGUAGUCAAACCUCGCCUUUUCAACAUUCUCCUCCUCUAGGAGGGUCAGAGGUCAUCAGAGUCCAGUCACAAUGAGUCAGCUAACACAACUCAUUCAGACUAAACGGUCUGUCUGUCUGUCUGUGUG
This is a long non-coding RNA of Oncorhynchus keta (chum salmon), 917 nucleotides long. RefSeq lists it as uncharacterized. The transcript is spliced from 6 exons. NCBI's taxonomy places the organism in Eukaryota, Metazoa, Chordata, Actinopteri, Salmoniformes, Salmonidae. The record is from RefSeq and is a predicted model, not a curated record.